Ribosomal RNA from Carassius auratus (goldfish), 119 nucleotides. NCBI's taxonomy places the organism in Eukaryota, Metazoa, Chordata, Actinopteri, Cypriniformes, Cyprinidae. The record is from Ensembl.
GCUUAUGGCCAUACCAGCCUGGCUAUGCCCGUUCUUGUCUGAUCUCGGAAGCUAAGCAGGUUUGGGCCUGGUUAGUGCCUGGAUGGGAGACCGCCUGGGAAUGCCAGGUACUCUAAGCU